Molecule: long non-coding RNA, 283 nt
Filed under: Equus asinus (donkey)
Lineage: Eukaryota; Metazoa; Chordata; Mammalia; Perissodactyla; Equidae
Description: lncRNA (ENSEASG00005030808.1)
Source: RNAcentral
CCAACAUAGAGGCCAAGCUGGGCUCCAGCCCCAUCCGCACUUGAAAUCCAGCGCCUGUCCGUCACCAUCACCAAGUAAGCCUGGGCUGCUGAUUCGCCAUGACCUGAAGUAGACACCAGCCAACCCCAGGAGGCAGGCAUGGUUAUUGUCCCAUCUUGCAGAAGAGGAAAUAAAGGCUCAGGGAGAGGAAGGGUCUUUCCUGAGAUCACGCAGCAGGGCAAGGGUCAAGACGGAUCAGCCAUACGGAGGGUCCCCCUCCCACUGUCGCAGCAACAACACCCAC